RNAcentral lists this long non-coding RNA (301 nucleotides) under Setaria viridis. RNAcentral describes it as "long non-coding RNA (SVIR_LNC008897)". Lineage: Eukaryota; Viridiplantae; Streptophyta; Magnoliopsida; Poales; Poaceae. The record is from RNAcentral.
UCACAACCAAGUCUACUUCCGUGGAGGCCAAGGAGACCACUGCGACAAAUCUUGAUCUUCAUUAUUCGAAGCCGCCGAUUGAUUCUGCACAUAGGAUCGGACAUUCUGAGGUAACAUCUAAAGUUGUCAAAUUUAAACUAUUGAAUCUUAAGCACAAUGUGUCAAGUGACUCACAGGAGUAGUCGUGGGUGGCUGAGGCGGAGGGAACAUCAUCGGCGGUGGCGGAGGCAAAGACUGUCCCAUGCUCGAAGCAAAGUUCUGCAUGUACUGGAACAUCUGCUCCAUCCUAAUCCGGUUUUCC